RNAcentral lists this ribosomal RNA (380 nucleotides) under uncultured eukaryote. RNAcentral describes it as "partial 18S ribosomal RNA". It matches the Rfam family "Eukaryotic small subunit ribosomal RNA", at positions 592 to 976 of the family's 1831-position model. The record is from RNAcentral.
CAAUAGCGUAUAUUAAAGUUGUUGCGGUUAAAAAGCUCGUAGUUGGAUUUCUGCUGAGAACGACCGGUCCGCCCUUUGGGUGUGUAUCUGGCUCUUUCUUGGCAUCUUCUUGGUGAACGUUGCUGCACUUGACUGUGUGGAGCGCUACCCAGGACUUUUACUUUGAGGAAAUUAAAGUGUUUCAAGCAGGCAUACGCCUUGAAUACAUUAGCAUGGAAUAAUAAGAUAGGACCUCGGUUCUAUUUUGUUGGUUUCUAGAGCUGAGGUAAUGAUUAAUAGGGAUAGUUGGGGGCAUUCGUAUUUAACUGUCAGAGGUGAAAUUCUUGGAUUCGUUAAAGACGGACUACUGCGAAAGCAUUUGCCAAGGAUGUUUUCAUUGA